Molecule: ribosomal RNA, 494 nt
Filed under: uncultured bacterium
Lineage: Bacteria
Description: partial 16S ribosomal RNA
Rfam family: Bacterial small subunit ribosomal RNA
Source: RNAcentral
UCCUCCCUCUUUCCUCGUGCUUAACACAUGCAAGUCGAACGGAAAGGCCUGCUUUCCCUUGUGGAUUGCGGGUACUCGCGUGGCGAACGGGUGAGUAACACGUGAGUGAUCUGCCCCCAACUUGGGUAUAAGCCUGGGAAACUGGGUCUAAUUCCCGAUAGGACUGCAGGGUGGUGCCUGUGGUGGAAAACGAUUUUCUAGUGGUUGGGGAUGAGCUCGCGGCCUAUCAGCUUGUUGGUGGGGGAAUGGCCUACCAAGGCGGCGACGGGUAGCCGGCCUGAGGGGGUGGACGGCCACAUUGGGACUGAGAUACGGCCCAGACGCCUACGGGAGGCAGCAAUGGGGAAUAUUGCACAAUGGGCGGAAGCCUGAUGCAGCGACGCCGCGUGGGGGAUGACGGCCUUCGGGUUUUAAACUCCUUUCGACCGCGAGGAAGCCACCUGGUUGGAAGGGUGGUGACGGUAGUGGUAGAAGAAGCACCGGCUAACUACGUG